Molecule: ribosomal RNA, 441 nt
Filed under: uncultured Sphingobacteriales bacterium
Lineage: Bacteria; Pseudomonadati; Bacteroidota; Sphingobacteriia; Sphingobacteriales
Description: bacterial SSU rRNA
Rfam family: Bacterial small subunit ribosomal RNA
Source: RNAcentral
AGCAUGUGUUAAUUCGAUGAUACGCGAGGAACCUUACCUGGGCUCAAAUGUAUGUUGACGUAUUCUGAAAGGGAUACUUCUUCGGACAAUAUACAAGGUGCUGCAUGGUUGUCGUCAGCUCGUGCCGUGAGGUGUCGGGUUAAGUCCCAUAACGAGCGCAACCCCUAUCAUUAGUUGCCAUCAGGUCAAGCUGGGGACUCUAAUGAAACUGCCUACGCAAGUAGUGAGGAAGGUGGGGAUGACGUCAAAUCAGCACGGCCCUUACGUCCAGGGCUACACACGUGCUACAAUGGCCGGUACAAAGGGCAGCUACCUGGUGACAGGAUGCUAAUCUCAAAAGCCGGUCUCAGUUCGGAUCGGAGUCUGCAACCCGACUCCGUGAAGCUGGAAUCGCUAGUAAUCGUGGAUCAGCAUGCCACGGUGAAUACGUUCCCGGGCCUU